This 252-nucleotide ribosomal RNA is filed under the name uncultured prokaryote. RNAcentral describes it as "partial 16S rRNA". It matches the Rfam family "Bacterial small subunit ribosomal RNA", at positions 525 to 775 of the family's 1533-position model. The record is from RNAcentral.
ACGUAGGUGGCGAGCGUUAUUCGGAUUCACUGGGCGUAAAGGGUCCGUAGGGGGUCUGCCAAGUCUGGUGUGAAAGCCCGCGGCUCAACUGCGGAACGGCACUGGAUACUGGCGGGCUACGAGUCUGCGAGGGGUAAGCGGAAUUCCUGGUGUAGCGGUGGAAUGCGUAGAUAUCAGGAAGAACACCGAUGGCGAAGGCGGCUUACUGGCGCAGUACUGACCCUGAGGGACGAAAGCGUGGGUAGCAAACAG